UCCGUGCCAGCAGCCGCGGUAAUACGGAGGGUGCGAGCGUUAAUCGGAAUUACUGGGCGUAAAGCGUACGCAGGCGGUUUGUUAAGCGAGAUGUGAAAGCCCCGGGCUCAACCUGGGAACUGCAUUUCGAACUGGCAAACUAGAGUAUGAUAGAGGGUGGUAGAAUUUCAGGUGUAGCGGUGAAAUGCGUAGAGAUCUGAAGGAAUACCGAUGGCGAAGGCAGCCACCUGGGUCAAUACUGACGCUCAUGUACGAAAGCGUGGGGAGCAAACGGGAUUAGAUACCCUGGUAG
Molecule: ribosomal RNA, 292 nt
Filed under: uncultured bacterium
Lineage: Bacteria
Description: partial 16S ribosomal RNA
Rfam family: Bacterial small subunit ribosomal RNA
Source: RNAcentral